This 1077-nucleotide ribosomal RNA is filed under the name Lactiplantibacillus plantarum. Its description in RNAcentral is "bacterial SSU rRNA". It matches the Rfam family "Bacterial small subunit ribosomal RNA", at positions 385 to 1454 of the family's 1533-position model. The record is from RNAcentral. Lineage: Bacteria; Bacillati; Bacillota; Bacilli; Lactobacillales; Lactobacillaceae.
GAUGGAGCAACGCCGCGUGAAUGAAGAAGGGUUUCGGCUCGUAAAACUCUGUUGUUAAAGAAGAACAUAUCUGAGAGUAACUGUUCAGGUAUUGACGGUAUUUAACCAGAAAGCCACGGCUAACUACGUGCCAGCAGCCGCGGUAAUACGUAGGUGGCAAGCGUUGUCCGGAUUUAUUGGGCGUAAAGCGAGCGCAGGCGGUUUUUUAAGUCUGAUGUGAAAGCCUUCGGCUCAACCGAAGAAGUGCAUCGGAAACUGGGAAACUUGAGUGCAGAAGAGGACAGUGGAACUCCAUGUGUAGCGGUGAAAUGCGUAGAUAUAUGGAAGAACACCAGUGGCGAAGGCGGCUGUCUGGUCUGUAACUGACGCUGAGGCUCGAAAGUAUGGGUAGCAAACAGGAUUAGAUACCCUGGUAGUCCAUACCGUAAACGAUGAAUGCUAAGUGUUGGAGGGUUUCCGCCCUUCAGUGCUGCAGCUAACGCAUUAAGCAUUCCGCCUGGGGAGUACGGCCGCAAGGCUGAAACUCAAAGGAAUUGACGGGGGCCCGCACAAGCGGUGGAGCAUGUGGUUUAAUUCGAAGCUACGCGAAGAACCUUACCAGGUCUUGACAUACUAUGCAAAUCUAAGAGAUUAGACGUUCCCUUCGGGGACAUGGAUACAGGUGGUGCAUGGUUGUCGUCAGCUCGUGUCGUGAGAUGUUGGGUUAAGUCCCGCAACGAGCGCAACCCUUAUUAUCAGUUGCCAGCAUUAAGUUGGGCACUCUGGUGAGACUGCCGGUGACAAACCGGAGGAAGGUGGGGAUGACGUCAAAUCAUCAUGCCCCUUAUGACCUGGGCUACACACGUGCUACAAUGGAUGGUACAACGAGUUGCGAACUCGCGAGAGUAAGCUAAUCUCUUAAAGCCAUUCUCAGUUCGGAUUGUAGGCUGCAACUCGCCUACAUGAAGUCGGAAUCGCUAGUAAUCGCGGAUCAGCAUGCCGCGGUGAAUACGUUCCCGGGCCUUGUACACACCGCCCGUCACACCAUGAGAGUUUGUAACACCCAAAGUCGGUGGGGUAACCUUUUAGGAACCAGCA